Molecule: transfer RNA, 76 nt
Filed under: Rhodospirillaceae bacterium
Lineage: Bacteria; Pseudomonadati; Pseudomonadota; Alphaproteobacteria; Rhodospirillales; Rhodospirillaceae
Also listed under: 5 other names
Description: tRNA-Thr
Rfam family: tRNA
About the family: Transfer RNA (tRNA) molecules are approximately 80 nucleotides in length. Their secondary structure includes four short double-helical elements and three loops (D, anti-codon, and T loops). Further hydrogen bonds mediate the characteristic L-shaped molecular structure. tRNAs have two regions of fundamental functional importance: the anti-codon, which is responsible for specific mRNA codon recognition, and the 3' end, to which the tRNAs corresponding amino acid is attached (by aminoacyl-tRNA synthetases). tRNAs cope with the degeneracy of the genetic code in two manners: having more than one tRNA (with a specific anti-codon) for a particular amino acid; and 'wobble' base-pairing, i.e. permitting non-standard base-pairing at the 3rd anti-codon position.
Source: RNAcentral
GCUGGCUUAGCUCAGUUGGUAGAGCAGUUGAUUUGUAAUCAUCAGGUCGCGGGUUCGACCCCUGCAGCCAGCACCA